GCCACCUUAGCUCAGCUGGUAGAGCAGCUCAUUCGUAAUGAGCGGGUCGUAGGUUCGAGUCCUAUAGGUGGCUCCA
This 76-nucleotide transfer RNA is filed under the name Bacteroidota bacterium. Its description in RNAcentral is "tRNA-Thr". It matches the Rfam family "tRNA". Rfam says of the family: Transfer RNA (tRNA) molecules are approximately 80 nucleotides in length. Their secondary structure includes four short double-helical elements and three loops (D, anti-codon, and T loops). Lineage: Bacteria; Pseudomonadati; Bacteroidota. RNAcentral also lists the same sequence under 1 other name. The record is from RNAcentral.